CCUACGGGGGGCUGCAGUCGAGAAUUUUUCUCAAUGGGCGAAAGCCUGAAGGAGCGACGCCGCGUGUGGGAUGAAGGGUUUCGAUCCGUAAACCACUGUCAUUUGUGAACAAUGGUUAUCAUUUAAAAGAUGAUGACUUGAUAGUAAUGAAAGAGGAAGGGACGGCUAACUCUGUGCCAGCAGCCGCGGUAAUACAGAGGUCCCGAGCGUUGUUCGGAUUCACUGGGCGUAAAGGGUGCGUAGGUGGCAUGGUAAGUUUGAUGUGAAAGCUCAGG
RNAcentral lists this ribosomal RNA (275 nucleotides) under uncultured bacterium. RNAcentral's name for it is "partial 16S ribosomal RNA". It matches the Rfam family "Bacterial small subunit ribosomal RNA", at positions 338 to 606 of the family's 1533-position model. The record is from RNAcentral.